Annulohypoxylon bovei var. microspora is the source of this 89-nucleotide non-coding RNA. Lineage: Eukaryota; Fungi; Ascomycota; Sordariomycetes; Xylariales; Hypoxylaceae. The record is from the annotation of a GenBank genome assembly.
GGUCCGUUGGCCCAAUGGUAAGGCGUCUGACUACGACUACCAGUUCAAAGUUAAUCAGGAGAUUCUGGGUUCGACCCCCAGGCGGACCU